This 497-nucleotide ribosomal RNA is filed under the name uncultured bacterium. Its description in RNAcentral is "partial 16S ribosomal RNA". It matches the Rfam family "Bacterial small subunit ribosomal RNA", at positions 28 to 507 of the family's 1533-position model. The record is from RNAcentral.
GAUGAACGCUGGCGGCGUGCCUAAUACAUGCAAGUCGAGCGAACAGACGAGGAGCUUGCUCCUCUGACGUUAGCGGCGGACGGGUGAGUAACACGUGGAUAACCUACCUAUAAGACUGGGAUAACUUCGGGAAACCGGAGCUAAUACCGGAUAAUAUAUUGAACCGCAUGGUUCAAUAGUGAAAGACGGUUUUGCUGUCACUUAUAGAUGGAUCCGCGCCGCAUUAGCUAGUUGGUAAGGUAACGGCUUACCAAGGCAACGAUGCGUAGCCGACCUGAGAGGGUGAUCGGCCACACUGGAACUGAGACACGGUCCAGACUCCUACGGGAGGAAGCAGUAGGGAAUCUUCCGCAAGGGGCGAAAGCCUGACGGAGCAACGCCGCGUGAGUGACGAAGGUCUUCGGAUCGUAAAACUCUGUUAUUAGGGAAGAACAAAUGUGUAAGUAACUAUGCACGUCUUGACGGUACCUAAUCAGAAAGCCACGGCUAACUACGUG